This 335-nucleotide unclassified non-coding RNA is filed under the name soil metagenome. RNAcentral's name for it is "partial contains 5.8S ribosomal RNA, internal transcribed spacer 2, and large subunit ribosomal RNA". The stretch from base 1 to 120 matches the Rfam family "5.8S ribosomal RNA", at positions 35 to 154 of the family's 154-position model. The record is from RNAcentral.
GAUGAAGAACGUAGCGAAAUGCGAUAAGUAAUGUGAAUUGCAGAAUUCCGUGAAUCAUCGAAUCUUUGAACGCACAUUGCGCCCGCCAGUAUUCUGGCGGGCAUGCCUGUUCGAGCGUCAUUUCAACCAUCAAGCCCCCGGCUUGUGUUGGGGACCUGCGGCUGCCGCAGGCCCUGAAAACCAGUGGCGGGCUCGCUAGUCACUCCGAGCGUAGUAGUUACAUCUCGCUCAGGGCGUGCUGCGGGUUCCGGCCGUUAAAAGCCUUAUUUACCCAAGGUUGACCUCGGAUCAGGUAGGAAGACCCGCUGAACUUAAGCAUAUCAAUAAGCGGAGGA